This 65-nucleotide transfer RNA is filed under the name Harpalinae sp. 3 ACP-2013. RNAcentral's name for it is "tRNA-Cys". It matches the Rfam family "tRNA". Rfam says of the family: Transfer RNA (tRNA) molecules are approximately 80 nucleotides in length. Their secondary structure includes four short double-helical elements and three loops (D, anti-codon, and T loops). The record is from RNAcentral. Lineage: Eukaryota; Metazoa; Arthropoda; Insecta; Coleoptera; Carabidae.
GUUUUAUAGUUUAAACAAAACAUUAAAUUGCAAAUUUAAAGAUAGAAUUAUAUUCUUAAAACUUA